Molecule: long non-coding RNA, 533 nt
Organism: Ornithodoros turicata
Lineage: Eukaryota; Metazoa; Arthropoda; Arachnida; Ixodida; Argasidae
Exons: 3
Source: RefSeq, a predicted model, not a curated record
UUUAGCUUCUGGCGUCUCACGGUCUCACAUCAUGCACGGUCUAGCAAAUGAAGAGAUGGCAUCGAACUAGACAACGUCGCACGAUAUGUGGGCAAGGCACGCGGACGACGCUGCUUGAACAGUUGUGAUUCUCCAAGCUUUCGCUGCGCUACAAAUUCGUAUGCGUACGCCCAUUGUCCACCAGCAUCCCAAGGAACAGGACACGACACGCUCUUCGUAGCCAUGCUGGACUGCGUAAUACCACGCAUGCACCCUCAGCUGCAUUAGGUGGUGCUCCUAAAAUUUCUACUGUGCGACAUAUUCUGGGAAGAAGUACACAAGACUCUACUCCCUCACGCAUGUACAAGCAGUACAACUCACCUGUAAAGAUGACUUGUAAGUUGUGACUGCUUCAUGAGUAAUGAUGCGUUGCUCGAUCAAUGCAACGUCUGCAAUACACUGAACUAUAUACUUCAGUUAUUAUACGGUGAUUUCACGCCAGAUCAUGCACGGUGGUGAAUUUUUUCUCUUUCAAACAUAUAUUACAACCUCGU